This 174-nucleotide ribosomal RNA is filed under the name Escherichia coli. Its description in RNAcentral is "partial 16S ribosomal RNA". It matches the Rfam family "Bacterial small subunit ribosomal RNA", at positions 1 to 168 of the family's 1533-position model. The record is from RNAcentral. Lineage: Bacteria; Pseudomonadati; Pseudomonadota; Gammaproteobacteria; Enterobacterales; Enterobacteriaceae.
AAAUUGAAGAGUUUGAUCAUGGCUCAGAUUGAACGCUGGCGGCAGGCCUAACACAUGCAAGUCGAACGGUAACAGAAAGCAGCUUGCUGCUUUGCUGACGAGUGGCGGACGGGUGAGUAAUGUCUGGGAAACUGCCUGAUGGAGGGGGAUAACUACUGGAAACGGUAGCUAAUA